Molecule: transfer RNA, 65 nt
Filed under: Cherax sp. HG-2014b
Lineage: Eukaryota; Metazoa; Arthropoda; Malacostraca; Decapoda; Parastacidae
Description: tRNA-Phe
Source: RNAcentral
CUUACAUAUUUUAAAUUAGAAUUUUGCGUUGAAGUUGCAAAGAUGGCUGUAAGGCCUGUAGGUAA